Molecule: long non-coding RNA, 613 nt
Organism: Rhinolophus ferrumequinum (greater horseshoe bat)
Lineage: Eukaryota; Metazoa; Chordata; Mammalia; Chiroptera; Rhinolophidae
Exons: 3
Source: RefSeq, a predicted model, not a curated record
AGGAGUAAACUCCCAUGAAGUGCGUAGCAAUGUUGCGGAAGCCAAUACUGCAAGGAACCAUGAGUGGCCAGAAAAUGAAGCCCCAAUCCAGCAGCUAUAAGGAAAUGAAAAAUGCCAACAACCUGAGGGAGCAUGAAAGUGGAUCUUUCCCCAGUCCAGCCUCUGAUAAGACUGCAGUUUCCUCCAACCACUGUACUGCACACCGGGAAGACACUGAAGGACAGAGCCUAGUUAAGCUGUACCUGGAAUGUUGACCUACAGAAACUGUGAGAUUAUGAAUGUACUUGGUGACUACCGUGGAAUCCGAAGCAAGCUUCUGAUGGCACUGGGGACAAUGAGAAACAUAGGCAUGGAGUCUCUAAGCCCAGGCUGAUGCUUUGAUGGUUCAUUGUGAAACUUCCUGAAAAUCCCCUCAGAUCUUUAAUGCAAAGCAUCAACAAACAGUUUGUGUUCUAGGAUUCUGUGAAUUCCAUGCAUCAAAAUCCUCAUCCUGCUUUUCUACCAAUCCAGGACUAUUGUAUCAUGAAUUUUACCCAAUCCUAAUCAUGCCAACCAACAUUGCAAGACUUGCCUUUAACCAAACUUCUGCUUCUUAAUAAAUUCUGACCUUGCC